ACUUGCUCGAGCACUCAUUGUUGUCCAGAGCGCCAGUUAAACUUUGUCCUCCGUCGCAA
This 59-nucleotide small RNA is filed under the name Drosophila melanogaster (fruit fly). RNAcentral's name for it is "small non-coding RNA 649 (Dmel_CR33685)". Lineage: Eukaryota; Metazoa; Arthropoda; Insecta; Diptera; Drosophilidae. The record is from RNAcentral.